UUUUAAAAUUAUUUAAUUUAAUAUUUAAUUUUUAAAUGCCAAAGACGCAUUAAAAUAAGUACUAUCUGUUGAAAACAACAUUUGAAUUCUAGAGUUUAGUCCUUUCCAUUUGGUGAAUUUGAUGCAUUGAAAAGAAAUAAAAGAGAAUUUUUUUUCUACAGUUUGGCAAUUUUGAACUAUAAUUUUUUUAUUCUGGUGAAAACAUUUUGCAGAAAAUUAUGGAAACAUACAUAGGGACCCUGCAGUAAUAUUAUAGAUUUCUUAAAAAAAAAAAAACCGUUGCAAUAUAGACAUGAAAAUUGAAUUCAAGAUUAGGAAGUAAACUGAGAAAAAAAUAUUUAAAAAUAAUGCAGUUUAAAUGUGUCAUUGACUCGACAUUUCCCGCAUAUUCUAAAUCAAUAUUAACAUCAAUAAUACAUUUCAGAGUGCAUCUGUUUUUGCCAUUGCUAAUUUUUCUCUAUUAUGCCAGAGUAUGAGUAAGAUUUUUGCUGUUUUUUAAAAAGGCUACAUUAAGAUUCAGCCUCAAAAGAGGUUCAAUUCCUAGUAACUGCAGGUGCAUGGCACUUACUGCUAAUUGGACAUGACUGCUUUUAGCAAAUCUGGUAGCUGCUAAAAGCCACUGUUGCUGUGGUGCUGCCUCACCAGCACGCAGGGCAUGGUACCUGUUCACUACCAAAGCUCCAUGUCCACAAAAUUUGCCAACUAAAAUACCCAGCCAACUCCUUCACUUAAAUGCAUAGAGACAGAAAUCUCAAAGAGCUAUCAACAAGGUCUCUGCAAGAAAAUGCAGCCCUCUUAAUGCAUAUUAAAUAGUCCCAUUAAAAUAGUUCAGUAAUGCAUCUUUCUGUUAGAAUCUGUUGUUCUGAGCCCUAUAACCAUGUAGGGUAGUUUUCAAAAUAAAAUGCUGCUAUUAGCACAUUAAAUAAUUAUCUUCUCUCCUGUGUGCCAUACCCACUGGCUGGUACACUGUAGUUCUGGAAAAUAUUGUGAACCAAGUUAUAUCUGUGUCUCAUAUCAUCUUUUGUGUUUAUGUAGGAUGUUUGUUCUGAGAAAACUAAAAAUACUUUGUUUAAAUUGGAUCACACUUUACCAGUUAAGUGAACCUUACCAGGUAAGUCUCCUGGUUUGGAUAUUAACUCUUUCCAUUUGGGCUUCUUUUUCCCCUAAAUUUCUACCUUUAGUAGAAGUGUUCACUUUUAUCAACAGUGAUUUCAUAAAACAUUCAAUGUCUGACAGAACAGCCAUCAGAGCACCAUUGCUCUCAUUCAUUUUCCAAGACCCUGUAUCUUAUUCUUAGCAUUACAUGCAUUCUAUGAUGAUAAGCUGGGUUAUCAGAAAGGAGUCACGGGGAACAUGUGAGAAGAGGAAAAUCCAGAAUUAGUAACAUUAAAAUAAUCUAACUUUUACUCUCAAAGAGAUAAUGAAGGAAUUGCCUGGCUGUAUAAUUAUGGACCAAAUAUAUGUAAAUAUUAUACAAGUUCUCCUCAAAUAAUCAUUGGGCUUCUGGAACAAAAGCUUACAGAAACAAGAUGAACAAUUUGAACUCUGACUUUUGUUUUCUAUUUGUGAGAACAUGAUUUUUUUUUUCAACUUUCUAAUCACAGUUAUAAAAUUAAGCCUGAUUUUCAGAACGAAGUUUACCUGAUUGUCAAUGACUUCUCAAGUCCCCUAUUUUCAAAAAUGGCACAUUUGAUGGCAAAAUACAAAAUCUGUCUGAAAAGGUCUUGUUUUACUGUUAGCAUUCGAGAAGAAACUUCUACUUCAAGAAAAUCAAAGGAUUGUCUCUCACCCUAAAGGAAAACCAUUUUGGAAAGCUUGGCAAAGAUAUACCUGGUCAUUUACAGUUUUUUUAUUAGAAACUUGGGAAAUGUUCUUCACUAAAAGAAGCCUUUUAAAAUCCCUAGAGAAGUAGGUCCCUUGCUCACCGGCAUUAUGGGAACAUUGACCCAAAUAUGGGAAGGAGGAAACGAAUACCACCUCUCCCCCUUGCCCACCAUCCCACUAAACAUACUCUACAAAUUACCAGUCACCAACUCUCCAUCAGUGUCCAAACUGCCAUUAAAUGCCCUUGCUGAGAAUGAUUGAUUACACAGCAUCGAUUAUCAGAGACAGUAACAAAGAUAACUUUUACUUUCUGGAAAACUUUUGCCAUAGGAAAAAGUAUACUCACAAGUGUACAAAAAGAAAAAAUCAAUCCUGUAAAUGUGAAUAUACAUAACCAGAGCUGAAUUUUUUUCAUGAAGAGUUUGAAUAUAUAAAACCUUGAAUCUACAUGAAAAAAUAAACCAUGAAGAAAUAUCCUAAAAAGCAAGUAUUAGUUUACAUGACGCAAUAUGAAAUGUAUCUAAGUGUCUUUCUCUGAUAACGCGCAUCUAUGCUCAUGUCUCCCUUCCUUGUUCCUAUUAUAUUUAAAACCUGACAUGUCACACAAUUAGCAUCUUAUGUAAAUCAUAUUUCAUAGCAUUUAUUAGCUGAGUGUUGAAAUCAUAUUUGUUAUGUAACCAUAAGAUGUUCUAUAGGAUAAUCCUGUUCACUAAUCACUAGAGGUCUCUACAACUUGUUUCUCAAUGAGAUUGUAAGAUCUGUGUUGACAGAGAUCUAUCUAGCAGUUCUUUUUCUCCCAUGGAGCUAAAUUUAUCACAGCGGCACAGCAAGCUGCCUCUCUGCCUGCCUCCCAGACUGGGGACUCUAUGAUCCCCUUCCUCCAGAGUAAUAUGGAGACACAGGGUGACCCAGCUAGAAUUCAUUUUCCAAGUCCUCCCUGCAACUAAAAGUGGAUUGCCAAUGUAUUUUGAGAAGUAAUGUGUACAGUUUCCAUGUUUAUUGCUUAAGAGGAAAUGCCUAUGGAGAAAGGUUGGUCAGCAGGUACAAAGUUGCGUUAGAUGGGAGGAAUAAGUUCUGGUGUCCCAUUGCACAGCAGGGUGACUGUGGCUAGCAAUAAUGUAUUGUAUAUUUCAAACUAACUAGAAAAGAGGAUUUUGAAUGCUUUACCACUGAGAAAUGAUAAAUGUUUGAGAUGAUGGAUUUGCCCAUUACCCUGAUUUCAUCAUUACACAAUGCAUACACGUCAAAACCUCUCAUUUUAUCUCAUGAAUAUGUACAGUUAUUAUAUUUGAUUAAAGUAAAAAUAAUUUUUAAAAA
Sapajus apella (tufted capuchin) is the source of this 3141-nucleotide long non-coding RNA. RefSeq lists it as uncharacterized. Lineage: Eukaryota; Metazoa; Chordata; Mammalia; Primates; Cebidae. The record is from RefSeq and is a predicted model, not a curated record. The transcript has 2 exons.